Molecule: long non-coding RNA, 971 nt
Organism: Monopterus albus (swamp eel)
Lineage: Eukaryota; Metazoa; Chordata; Actinopteri; Synbranchiformes; Synbranchidae
Exons: 3
Source: RefSeq, a predicted model, not a curated record
AUUGUGCAGGCAGCAGUUGCGCCAGGUGUGUCUUAUGGGUGAGGUCUUCCGCUCAGCUUCAGAGACAAUUUGGAACGUGAACUGAGAGCCUCGUGUCCUCAUUGCUGCUAAAUAUAUCUGUGUUUUCCAGAAGACUGCCACCAUGUUUGGAAAAUCCUGAGUCUGGAUCGAUGCACUCUUACCCCAGAGCCUAGAUUGGAUGGCCAGUAAUUGAUUCAUCUGAGAGCUCAAGGAGGGCCCCGUGCUGCAGACCCCUAGUUCUCCUCAUGAAUCCACAGACACCUAGAUCCCCCACAGACUGAUCUUGAUAAUGGAUCUGAAGCUCUCUAACACCUGACCCUGAGUGUAAGUCUGUGUGAAUGUGCAAAUGGUCAUUUGUCUGGCCUGGCCUGCACUGUCAACUCAUCCACUCUCAGGAGGGGGAGUGCAAGCCAUUUGCUCAAACAGACACUAUACAGAUGAAGCCAUUGUUAAAAACCCACAGUUAACUGUGCUGCAGCAGCACUGCUGUAUCUGCAGUAGCUGGUCAGAGAAUUUGUUCUCUUUUCAGCCAGGGUAGUUUAAUAGUUGCACAUUUUCUUAUAAUAACGCUCUCUACUUUUGGUAAGUGGGACAAAACAGAAACAGGGAGGGAAAAAACCUCCCCAGCUGCAGAAAUCUGAACUGUUCACGUGUGAGACAUACACAUUUAAACACAGAGAUCAUGUAGAGCCAUGAUGAUUCUGAUGGGCAUUUUCAUCAUCAGACUGGUUUUCUAAUCCAAACUCAGCUGUAGUGUACUGCACUUGUUGUCACGUAGGCCUAAACUAUCUAAUGUCAAACACUUGACUUUAACUGUACAUUUUGCUAGUGUAUAUUAAAGUGUUAGAGCUACAGUCAGGGUGGCAGUAGUGCAGUGGUUAGUGCUCUGUGUUCGAGCCUUGGCUCUGCAUGGAGUUUGCAUGCUGUGCCUGUGUGGGGUCCCUGCAGCU